CAUUUGAUUUUCCUUUCUUCCUCGCGUGAGCAAGAGCAGGAAGCAGACGCUAAUGGAUCCGAAACGCUAGCAAAUCGACGAAAGAUCAAGGCGCGUGAGCGACAAUAGAUGUGAUAGCAAGUGUAACGGGAAUAUGGGGAAGAACAGGCUGGUACACUGCGCUCUUUUGUCUCUUUCAUCGCCCUCAUUCGUAUGACCUCUGCAGCGCACAAGACGACGCGGAAUCGUCCUUGGCGUGUAGGAUCGAGCCCCGUCGUUUGCCAAGGACGAGGGAUCGAUCUCAACCCUCCACCUCCCCUUAAUUCCGUUCGAAUCGCCUGGAUUUUGGAUAAGGUGGAAUUCGAAUUCCAAAUGUGCCGAAAAAUCUUGGAAUUUCCUCUCUCCCCCCACAAAAUCGAAACCCUAGUAAUUCCCCUAUAAAUACACUUGUCUUCGUCGGUUUUGGGGGAUUUUUUUUUGGGGAGAAAAAACAGUGAAAGAACUGUUUAAAGUUCAUUCUCCAGGAAAAUCAAGAAAUAGUCCUUUUUCGUUCGAAGUUCUUAAAGGGUUCUAGGAUUCAAAGUUGACUCAGACAUCUUGGUUUGUUGUUCGUGUCGGAGUUUGACGUUCACGAAAUUAUCCUUUUGGGUGUUGAAGUUCGCCAGUUCCUUACUCGUCACCGUUCCCGUUCGCUGCUCUCGAAAAGUCUCCAUGAACUUCAUUCCCAUCUCUUGCACUUCCUCGUUGAGCCGUAAAGGCUCAAACCUCAAUUCUCGAGUCGUAGACCCUUCUCAAAACUGGCGUACAGGUUGAACAUAGCAAAAGUGUUGCUGGAAAUUACAUUUUGCAGGGGUUGAAGAAGAUGUAUACAGCAGUAUACAUAUUUUAUACACAGUUUAUACCAUGAUAUUCAGGUAAAAAAUAUACAGGGAAUCCGAAUUCAAAAUCUGGGUUGAUAGCAGUGAAAAUACUCUGCUGAAAAGGGACUUUCAACUUUCGAAAGUUGAAAAACAGGCUGAUAUACAACCUGCAUACACUGGUAUACAGACACGCUAUACCUCAAAUAGGUGUAAAAAAAUGUGAAUUGUAGGUUAACGUACAGGGAGGCCAAAUUCGAGUAAAAUUCAGGAAUAGGCAAUGAGUUCGUGCAUAGGAUACAGCCCGUAUACAUUGGUAUACACAUUUGGGCAGCGAUAUACAGUAUUAAAAUGGUAUAAAAAAAAGUACAGGUACAAAUACGCAGAAAUAAUAUGGGAAAUACAGGUGGAAUAGCGAGAAUGUGUAUUCAAACAAAUACAGGGCUCAAACAGUCCAAAACGUAUUGGAUAUUUACAGUAUACAUCAUUUGUAUACCAUGACACUUUUCAGGAAAUGGGCCAGGGCCCUUCAGCAGAU
Long non-coding RNA from Solanum pennellii, 1374 nucleotides. RefSeq lists it as uncharacterized. The record is from RefSeq and is a predicted model, not a curated record. The transcript has 2 exons. NCBI's taxonomy places the organism in Eukaryota, Viridiplantae, Streptophyta, Magnoliopsida, Solanales, Solanaceae.